RNAcentral lists this ribosomal RNA (263 nucleotides) under uncultured bacterium. RNAcentral's name for it is "partial 16S ribosomal RNA". It matches the Rfam family "Bacterial small subunit ribosomal RNA", at positions 793 to 1055 of the family's 1533-position model. The record is from RNAcentral.
GUCCACGCCGUAAACGAUGGGUGCUAGGUGUGGGGGGUGUCGACUCCCUCCGUGCCGCAGCUAACGCAUUAAGCACCCCGCCUGGGGAGUACGGCCGCAAGGCUAAAACUCAAAGGAAUUGACGGGGCCCCGCACAAGCAGCGGAGCAUGUGGUUUAAUUCGAUGCAACGCGAAGAACCUUACCAGGGCUUGACAUGCACUGGAAAACCGUAGAAAUACGGUCCUCCUUCGGGACCAGUACACAGGUGGUGCAUGGCUGUCGU